AAGAAAGAAUAUAGUUUCUCUCUCUUCAAUUCACCCGCCCCCAAAUCGAGCCUCUGAAAACCCUAAUUUCUUUUUCAUCAGCUGCAAUACCUCUGCGAUGGAUCAUCAACCGGACCUUCUCCAACCUCGAUCAGCGCAAAAACCUGCGGUGGUCCUUCAAUACGCGCGCAGGCCUCGCCAAUUCGGUUGCCCCGACCGCAGAUCGUCCGGAAACGUGAGGAUUCCGGGUCCUUCCGUGCCGAAGAAGACGAGGGAUCUCCCGAAUCUGUCGCAAUGCCACGCCUGUGGAUCCCGCAUCGACUUGGUCGACGGUAAGAACAGGCUGCAACCCCUGCACAGCGAAUGGCGUAUCGUGCUGCUGUGCAAGAAAUGCCUCAUCCGGGUCGAGUCCUCAGUUGUUUGCUCCUACUGUUUCUCGGAGACUUCGGAUGAGUGUUUCCGCUGUUGCGCGUGUAAGCGCCGGGUGCAUAAAAAUUGCUUCUUGGAGUAUAAGAAUGCGGCCCCGUGGUCGUACUCGUGUUCGGGCUUGGGUUCGGAGUUUUCUGUUUGUGUCGAUUGUUGGCUCCCGAGGUCGAUGGCGAAAUUGAAUGGGGCUUCGAAGAGGAGGAGAAGCGGUGGCAAGACUGACGGGAGGGCUGUGUGUGGAUUAGGACAUUCUAGACUUUUGGAGGAUGGGGAUUGCUGUGUGAUGAAGUGUUUGGAAGAUGUUGUGAAGGAUGCGAAUUGCGUGGUGGAGUUGAAGAAUGCGGCUGCGUGCAAGGCUAAGGAGAAGGCUCAUAAGAAGGCGGUUGUGGCAAAAAGGGCGGUGGAAUUGGCGAGCGAGGCUCUCGAUAUGGUUGCCAACACAGACGAGAGUAGUCUCUUGGCGUGUGAAGAAGGAGGUGGUGAUUGUGAUGAUAAAGUUGUUGACGAUGAGGAAUUGGCUUUUCAGUUGCACCGCUCAAUGAAUAGCUCGCCGAGGAUAUCAAAGAACUUUUGCUCUGUGAAUAAGAGCUGUGCUGAUGUUCCGAGGAUGUGGACCUACGUUAGGAGGGCAAAGGCUGGGGCAUCGGGACCUGGUAAUGCAACCAUUAUUGGGAAGCACGAAAAAUUGGCUUUUCAGUUGCGCCGCUCAAUGAAUAGCUCUUCGAGGAUAUCAGGUAACUGGCACUCUACGAAUAAGAGCUGUGCAGAUGUUCGACUGAUGUGGACGUACGUUAGGAGGGCAUCUGCUAAGGAAUUGAGAUCAGGGAAUGCAAACACUAAUGGGAAGCUUCAGUUUGGCAUGAAUGAGAAGUUUUGUGAGGUCGUCGCUCCAGAUUCUCCUUCCCCAGCACGGAUGCAUGAUGAUAGUAUGAUAAAUUUGACUACCACAGAGGCGGUUGAUGUGAGGUCUAGUGAAAAGCUUGAAGAGUGUGUGGUUAAGUCCGAUGGAGAUGGUGAAAACACAGGACUGCCGUUGGAGGAGGAAGAGGGUAGCUUUUCUAACUUUAUGGGAUCUGAAGGUCAGUUUUGUUGUGAGCACAAUAAGUUCACCAAACCAGAAAACGAAGGAAGUGAUGUAAACUUUGACCGUUAUAUGAUAAAGUAUAGGAAGAGGAGCUUAACCUUAGACAGAGCUCCAGAAAAGAAAUUUCGGUUUGUUUAUGUUAGAAAUCACCUGCGUGCAUUAUGUGCUCUGCAACCUGCCUCACUGUCAGAAUGAUGUCGAGAACGUGCUCUGGUGCUUCAGUCCUACCUUCUGAGGUUUCUAUAGAAGCCUCUACCUGUACAAUUGACUCAUCUGAAGAUCGUUAUUAGUUUCGAGGUCCAUGCAUUUAUCCUGACGAUGAUAACAAUAUGAAAUUCGGCAUGCCAAUAAACGUAGUUGGUAAGAUUUUGUAUUUCAGCAAGCUUUUUGUACAUUAGCUGUUGAUGAGGGGAUUGUGAUGGCUUAGCUUGAUGAAUCACUGUCGUAUUCGUAGAGGUUUUGUGAUACACACUAACUGCUGGAUCUGAGGUAAUCCUUAGUGCGUUCAUGCUGUCAUAAUUGUGGAGAAUGAUAGAUUUGGCUGAUCUAUCAAGCGGCUUUUUGGUUUUUGGGAUAGAGCAAAUGUGUACAUUAACCGUACUAUCAAUGAGAAAGUAAGAGUAUUAUUAAUUGCUUAUUGAGUA
This is an RNA transcript of Eucalyptus grandis, 2133 nucleotides long. RefSeq lists it as uncharacterized. The transcript is spliced from 2 exons. The record is from RefSeq and is a predicted model, not a curated record. Lineage: Eukaryota; Viridiplantae; Streptophyta; Magnoliopsida; Myrtales; Myrtaceae.